CUACCUCAAAUUAGGUGAGAUUACCCGCUAAAUUUAAGCAUAUUAUUAAGCGGAGGAAAAGAAACUAACAAGGAUUUCCUUAGUAGCUGCGAGCGAACAGGAAGAAGCCCAGCACUGAAUCAUUAGUAUUUGUAUACUAAUGAAAUGUAGUGUUUAAGAAGGUUUUAUUAUUCUAAAGUAUUUUAAUUUGUUCAAGUUUAUCUUGAAUGGGGCUAUGGUCCAUAGAAGGUGCCAGGCCUGUAGAAACAAAUUAAUAUUUUAGAUAAACCUUUCUUUAGAGUGCAACCUUAAGUGGGUGGUAAACUCCAUCUAAGGCUAAAUAUAACCACGAGACCGAUAGUAAACAAGUACCGUGAGGGAAAGUUGAAAAGAACUUUGAAGAGAGAGUUCAAAAGUACGUGAAACCGUUUAGGGGUAAACGGAAAAGAACUGAAAAUCCGAAAAGGGAGAUUCACGUCUUCUCAUUAGAUAGCAUAAUUAUAAUUUAGGAUAACUAAUGGGCUAUACAAUUUAUUGUACUAGUACUAUUAAUUACCUAAUUAUAUUAUGACUAGCUAUGGUGGACCGCACUUCUCUCUAAGUAGGACGUCGUGACUCGCUAGUUUUAUAUUUAAAUUCAAAAUCAUACUUUAUUUAGACUUGUUAUAUAUAUUUUUUUUAAAAAGUUAUAUAACAAAUGGUAUGUUUUUUGGAUAAAUUAACUGGCGGUAUAAAACGACAAUGAGAGUCGCUUUUUUUUUAAAAAGCGUAUGAACUUGUAUUAUUUUUAAUAGUGUUACUAGUAAGUGAAACUAUGUUUUCUCGGAUUAGUAAUCUAUUGAUUAUUAAUAUUUUGUUUAUACAGACUCAUAACAUUGGUCGACGGCGCUACAGUUUCAGUAACUUUUCCGACCCGUCGAAACACCCAAGGAGUCUAACAUGUGCGCAAGUCAUUGGGUUAGUAAACCUAAAGGCGAAACAAAAGUAAAGUAAGCAAUGCUUUAAAAUAAGGAGGAUGGUUAUUUAAUUUUUUUUAAAUAGCCCGCACUCCUGGGGCGUCUGUUACUCAUUGCGAGUUAAGGCGCACCUAGAGCGUACACGUUGGGACCCGAAAGAUGGUGAACUAUGCUUGGCCAGGAUGAAGUCAGGGGAAACCCUGAUGGAGGUCCGUAGCGAUUCUGACGUGCAAAUCGAUCGUCAGAGCUAAGUAUAGGGGCGAAAGACCAAUCGAACUAUCUAGUAGCUGGUUCCCUCCGAAGUUUCCCUCAGGAUAGCUGGUGCCAAUGAUGAUAUUGAGUCUCAUCUGGUAAAGCGAAUGAUUAGAGGCAUUGGGGCCGAAACGACCUCAACCUAUUCUCAAACUUUAAAUGGAUGAGAGCCCUGGCUUGCUUAAAAUUGAAGCCAGGGAGUUGGAUCUAGGUGCCAAGUGGGCCAAUUUUGGUAAUGUGGGAUGAACCAAACGCAAAGUUAAGGCGCCUAAAUCGACGCUCAUUAGACACCAUGAAAGGCGUUGGUUGCUUAAGACAGCAGGACGGUGGCCAUGGAAGUCGGAAUCCGCUAAGGAGUGUGUAACAACUCACCUGCCGAAGCAACUAGCCCUGAAAAUGGAUGGCGCUGUAGCGUCGUGCCUAUACUUUGCCGUCAACGGCAAAUAAAGUAUAACAAAUUUAUUUUGUUAUGCUAUUAAGCCUUGACGAGUAGGAGGGUCGCAGCGAUGAGCGCAGAAGGGUCUGGGCGUAAGCCUGCCUGGAGCCGUCGCUGGUGCAGAUCUUGGUGGUAGUAGCAAAUACUCCAGCGAGGCCCUGGAGGGCUGUUGUGGAGAAGGGUUUCUUGUGAACAGCUGUUGCACAAGAGUCAGUCGAUCCUAAGCUCUAGGAGAAAUCCAAUGUUAAUUAGAUACCAAAAAAAUCUGGAUGGUAUCAUAAGAGCGAAAGGGAAUCCGGUUCCUAUUCCGGAACCCGGUAGCGGAACCGUUCCAAAUCGUGUCCUCAUAUGGACUCGUCGGGGUGACCCAAAAAGACCCGGAGAAGCCGUUAGAAUGUUUGGAGAGAGUUGUCUCUUCUCUAUAAGCGUUCGAGUUCCCUGGAAUCCUCUAGCAGGGAGAUAGGGUUUGGAACGCGAAGAGCAUCGCAGUUACGGCGGUGUCCAAAACAUUCUUUCGGACCAUGAAAAUUCGGGAGAGGGCAACGAGGAACACCGCGCCGGAUCGUACCCAUAUCCGCAGCAGGUCUCCAAGGUGAAUAGCCUCUAGUCGAUAGAAUAAUGUAGGUAAGGGAAGUCGGCAAGUUCGAUCCGUAACUUCGGGAUAAGGAUUGGCUCUGAGGAUCGUGGCGUGCUGGGCUUGGUCGGGAAGUGGAGCGGUGUCAAGUGCCGGGCCUGGGUAAGGUAUUUUUAAUACUUGAGCUCGGUCCCGUGCCUUGGCCACCCACGGAUCUUCCUUGCAAUAGGUACAUUAUUGUCUAGUUGCCAGUCUUUGAUUGGUAAACGGGUAUUGUCACCUUUUCGGCCGCCUUUUAACGAUCAACUCAGAACUGGCACGGACCAUGGGAAUUCGACUGUCUAAUUAAAACAGAGCAUUGCGAUGGCCCCAACGGGUGCUGACGCAAUGUGAUUUCUGCCCAGUGCUCUGAAUGUCAACGUGAAGAAAUUCAGAUAAGCGCGGGUAAACGGCGGGAGUAACUAUGACUCUCUUAAGGUAGCCAAAUGCCUCGUCAUCUAAUUAGUGACGCGCAUGAAUGGAUUAACGAAAUUCCCAUCUGUCCCUAUCUACUAUCUAGCGAAACCACUGCCAAGGGAACGGGCUUGGAAAAAUUAGCGGGGAAAGAAGACCCUGUUGAGCUUGACUCUAGUCUGAUACUGUAAGGGAACAUGAGAGGUGUAGCAUAAGUGGGAGAUAGUUUUACUAUCGUCAAUGAAAUACCACUACUCUCAUAGUUUCCUUACUUAUUCGAUGAGGCGGAAGGCGUCUGCUUAGGGUAUUUUACCCAAGUUAGACGGUAUUCUUGCGCCAAGCGUUAGGGUUGUCGAUUGUUCAGUGAAAAGCGUGUAAGCUUUAUACAUCAGUUAAGUGAAAUUGUUGUACAGUAAUUUAUAAUUGAAAUAAAAAAUAAAAUUAAGUGAUUAAAUAAUAAAGUUUGUGGAAAAGAAUAUUUUACAAGUUACACAAAUAAACAAUGCUAAUGAAAUGCUUUUCACGUCGUAGCUGAUAAUAUCGUCAACAGAUUCCCUAGCGUGAUCCGAUUCGAAGACACUAUCAGGCGGGGAGUUUGACUGGGGCGGUACAUCUGCCAAAAAAUAACGCAGGUGUCCUAAGGUCAGCUCAGCGAGGACAGAAACCUCGCGUAGAGCAAAAGGGCAAAUGCUGGCUUGAUCCCGAUGUUCAGUAUGCAUUGGGACUGCGAAAGCAUGGCCUAUCGAUCCUUUUAGCCUGAAGAGUUUUCAGCAAGAGGUAUCAGAAAAGUUACCACAGGGGUAACUGGCUUGUGGCAGCCAAGCGUUCAUAGCGACGUUGCUCUUUGAUCCUUCGAUGUCGGCUCUUCCUAUCAUUGCGAAGCAGAAUUCGCCAAGUGUCGGAUUGUUCACCCGCUAAUAGGGAACGUGAGCUGGGUUUAGACCGUCGCGAGACAGGUUAGUUUUACCCUACUAAUAAAAGUUAUUGCGUUAGUAAUCCUGCUCAGUACGAGAGGAACCGCAGGUUUGGACAUGUGGGUCAUGCACUCGGUCGACAGGCCGGUGGUGCGAUGCUACCAUCCAUGGGAUUAUACCUGAACGCCUCUAAGGUCGAAUCCCUUCUAAAUAUGCAAUAAUACUUUUAUGGGCCCCGUGAAGUCGAAAGGCUUCAAGCAAUGUGAAUUAUAUAGGUAAUCAGCAAUUAAGUUUGAUUAUCGCAUAUGCCUAUUGUAGUAGCUUAUUUUUGAUAAAUUAUUUAUUAUUAUAUAAAUAAUUUACAAUAUAAGUUUACAUAUAAUGGGUUACCCCUUUUGGGGAGUUCGAUGACGGGGCCCGGAAUAGUUCGUAGACGACCUAAACGCUGGGCGGGGUGUUGUACUCGGUUA
This 4034-nucleotide ribosomal RNA is filed under the name Dundonannus sp. 2 AK-2020. Its description in RNAcentral is "partial large subunit ribosomal RNA". It matches the Rfam family "Eukaryotic large subunit ribosomal RNA". Lineage: Eukaryota; Metazoa; Arthropoda; Insecta; Hemiptera; Schizopteridae. The record is from RNAcentral.